This 618-nucleotide long non-coding RNA is filed under the name Olea europaea (common olive). RNAcentral describes it as "long non-coding RNA (OEUR_LNC015031)". Lineage: Eukaryota; Viridiplantae; Streptophyta; Magnoliopsida; Lamiales; Oleaceae. The record is from RNAcentral.
GUGUCUUGAAUUAAAAAUAAGUAAUAACGGGUUUCAUUUUCAUCCAAUACAUAAGAAAAAUUAGCCUAGCAUAAUGUUAAAAUUAAACACAUAAAAUUGAAAAGACAUCACCGAGAAAUUGGCGAAACAUGAUUAAUUCCACAAAUUUGCUCGACUUUUGUGCAUGCGUAUUGAUUUCUUCAAGGCAGUCAUCCCCUUGUACGUGUGUCUAAUUCCCAGUUGGUGUGUAUGUAUGUAAUUCCAACCAAAACUCUCCUCCUGCCCAAUUGUCGUUUAUUGAUGCGUGUGUAUAUAUAUAAAAAUCAACCCACUUCUUCCUUGAUUUCUUUUUGUCGGCUACCAACAAUUGUAUGUGAUUCUAUUUAUAAGUAAGUUCCCAGCAGCAGGCCAGCCUUCUGCUUUCUUCUCUGGCAGCCGAUGUUUGACUCCCAAAAAGAAUUCCAAUUGUUUUACAAUUCUCACCCAAUUGGCAGCCAGCUUUUUCUCCUCUUCCAGCCAUCUCUUCCUAUGGUUUCUCUCUCUCUCUCUCUCUUCUCUCUUCUCUCUUUUUAUUAUUAUUUAUUAUUAUUAUUUUUAUCUGUGUAUCCCUCAAUAAUCCUCCCAGGUUGCCAUUUUUCC